UGCCCAAUGAAAUUUUAAUGGCUGCAGUAUUUUGACUGUACAAAGGUAGCAUAAUCAAUAGUUUCUUAAUUAGAAGCUGGAAUGAAUGGAUUUACGAGAAAUUAAUUGUCUCAAUAUAAAAUUUAUAAUUUUAUUUUUAAGUAAAAAAGCUUAAAUUUUAUUAAAAGACGAGAAGACCCUAUAGAAUUUUAUAUAAUUUUAUAUAAAAAUUUUUAUUAAAUAAUAUUAUAUUUUAUUGGGGUGAUAGAAAAAUUUAUUUAACUUUUUUUUUAUUAAAACAAUUAUUAUUGAAUUUUUGAUCCAAUUUUUUGAUUAAAAGAAUAAAUUACCUUAGGGAUAACAGCGUAAUAUUUUUUUAGAGUUCAUAUUAAAAAAAAUGCUUGCGACCU
RNAcentral lists this ribosomal RNA (389 nucleotides) under Stenus juno. RNAcentral's name for it is "partial 16S ribosomal RNA". Lineage: Eukaryota; Metazoa; Arthropoda; Insecta; Coleoptera; Staphylinidae. The record is from RNAcentral.